AGAGUUUGAUCCUGGCUCAGGACGAACGCUGGCGGCGUGCCUAAUACAUGCAAGUCGAGCGAAUCACAAGGUGCUUGCACCUUAUGGUUAGCGGCGGACGGGUGAGUAACACGUGGGCAACCUGCCUGUAAGACUGGGAUAACUUCGGGAAACCGGAGCUAAUACCGGAUAAUCCUUUUCCUCUCAUGAGGAAAAGCUGAAAGUCGGUUUACGCUGACACUUACAGAUGGGCCCGCGGCGCAUUAGCUAGUUGGUGAGGUAACGGCUCACCAAGGCGACGAUCCGUAGCCGGCCUGAGAGGGCGGUCGGCCACACUGACACUGACACACGGGUCAGACUCCUACGGGAGGCAGCAGUCGGGAAUUUUGGGCAAUGGGCGAAAGCCUGACCCAGCAACGCCGCGUGAAGGAUGAAGUUUUUCGGAAUGUAAACUUCACAAGAAUGGGAAGAAUAAGAAGGGGUUAAUACCCCCUUCGAUGACGGUACCAUUUGUAAGCUCCGGCUAACUCCGUGCCAGCAGCCGCGGUAAUACGGGGGGAGCAAGCGUUGUUCGGAUUUACUGGGCGUAAAGGGCGCAUAGGCGGCGCAACAAGUCACUUGUGAAAUCUCCGGGCUUAACUCGGAGCGGCCAAGUGAUACUGUCGUGCUAGAGUGCGGAAGGGGCAACUGGAAUUCUCGGUGUAGCGGUGAAAUGCGUAGAUAUCGAGAGGAACACCUGCGGCGAAGGCGGGUUGCUGGGCCGACACUGACGCUGAGGCGCGAAAGCCAGGGGAGCGAACGGGAUUAGAUACCCCGGUAGUCC
RNAcentral lists this ribosomal RNA (802 nucleotides) under uncultured Acidobacteriota bacterium. Its description in RNAcentral is "bacterial SSU rRNA". It matches the Rfam family "Bacterial small subunit ribosomal RNA", at positions 8 to 796 of the family's 1533-position model. Lineage: Bacteria; Pseudomonadati; Acidobacteriota. The record is from RNAcentral.